UGGGGAAUUUUGCGCAAUGGGCGAAAGCCUGACGCAGCAACGCCGCGUGAGUGAUGAAGGCUUUCGGGUCGUAAAGCUCUGUCAGAGGGGAAGAAACACUCAGGGGUUAAUACUCCCUGGGCUUGACGGUACCCUCAAAGGAAGCACCGGCUAACUCCGUGCCAGCAGCCGCGGUAAUACGGAGGGUGCAAGCGUUGUUCGGAAUUAUUGGGCGUAAAGGGCGUGUAGGCGGUCUGUUAAGUCUGCUGUGAAAGCCCCGGGCUCAACCCGGGAAGUGCAUUGGAUACUGGCAGACUGGAGUACGGGAGAGGGAAGUGGAAUUCCGAGUGUAGGGGUGAAAUCCGUAGAUAUUCGGAGGAACACCGGUGGCGAAGGCGGCUUCCUGGACCGAUACUGACGCUGAGACGCGAAAGCGUGGGGAGCAAACA
RNAcentral lists this ribosomal RNA (428 nucleotides) under uncultured prokaryote. RNAcentral's name for it is "bacterial SSU rRNA". It matches the Rfam family "Bacterial small subunit ribosomal RNA", at positions 355 to 774 of the family's 1533-position model. The record is from RNAcentral.